CUCGUCGAAAGUCUUCCAUUCUUCAAACUAGAUUAUUUAAAAAUGAAAAAGGAAGAAAGGAAAGCGAGGUCAUCUCAUUGCUCUAUCCGCCAAUCAGGAGGCUGAAUGUCAGUUUUGAACUAAAAGCCGCUCCGCUCCUCUUCUAGAUUUGGAAAACAAGCGAAAUUAAACUAAACCGCUGCACGCCUCUGAUGCGACAUCUGGACACUGCGUGGCGCUGGCGCUGCCGGAGCUGCGGGCCCGGCCUGGCGCCGGACUAGUCUCCCUUUUGAUGAGAAGAGUAAGUCUCAUUCUGAUUCAACAGCAGAGAUCAAAGAAAAGACUUCUGUUUUCUGGCCACCAGAUAUAUGUUAUCUGUGCUUAAAGAACUGAAAAACACACAUCAAAGGAGAAUUCUCUUGGAAAGAGAGGGUUCAAGCAUUAUUGUUAGGUGUGCUGGAAUCCUUUCCCGAGUCAGUACUGCUUUCUAGAACAGAACCAGGGAGAUCUAUUUGGAAUGUAUCUAACUCCAAAGAAACCAUCAGAGGUAAUAGUAUCUCACAGACAGCAAGUUGAACAUUGUGGGAUGCAUAAGCUAUUGAGGCCUUUGAAGCUUUCUGCUACAUGGAGGCUAGGGCCAGAGUCAAGAUUUAUGCUUUGCAGCACACUGGUCAGCUGUUUUUGCAAAUCAGAUUAAAUGAUUUUUAAAUGAGGCUGAGAGCAUGGGAGAUACUAAUGUGUGUUUCCUUGUGAGCUACUGCAUAAGUUAGGAAAUUGAAAUACAGAAAGAUGAAAAGUGAUUCGCCCAAGCAUAUAGAUCAAAGCUGUGGCAGA
RNAcentral lists this antisense RNA (813 nucleotides) under Pongo abelii (Sumatran orangutan). The stretch from base 268 to 411 matches the Rfam family "CDKN2B antisense RNA 1 convserved region 3". Lineage: Eukaryota; Metazoa; Chordata; Mammalia; Primates; Hominidae. The record is from RNAcentral.